CCUACGGGAGACAGCAGUGAGGAAUAUUGGUCAAUGGGCUCGAGCCUGAACCAGCCAAGUAGCGUGAAGGAUGACUGCCCUACGGGUUGUACACUUCUUUUAUAAAGGAAUAAAGUGAGGCACGUGUGCCUUUUUGUAUGUACUUUAUGAAUAAGGAUCGGCUAACUCCGUUCCAGCAGCCGCGGUAAUACGGAGGAUCCGAUCGUUAUCCGGAUUUAUUGGGUUUCAAGGGAGCGUAGAUUGGUUGUUAAGUCAGUUGUGAAAGUUUGCGGCUCAACCGUAAAAUUGCAAUUGAUACUGGCAGUCUUGAGUACAGUUGAGGUAGGCGGAAUUCGUGGUGUAGCGGUGAAAUGCUUAGAUAACACGAAGAACUCCGAUUGCGAAGGCAGCUUACUAAACUGCCACUGACAUUGAUGCUCGAAAGUGUGGGUAUCAAACAGGAGUAGAUACCCGGGUAGUC
Molecule: ribosomal RNA, 460 nt
Filed under: uncultured bacterium
Lineage: Bacteria
Description: partial 16S ribosomal RNA
Rfam family: Bacterial small subunit ribosomal RNA
Source: RNAcentral